Molecule: ribosomal RNA, 782 nt
Filed under: Curtobacterium citreum
Lineage: Bacteria; Bacillati; Actinomycetota; Actinomycetes; Micrococcales; Microbacteriaceae
Description: bacterial SSU rRNA
Rfam family: Bacterial small subunit ribosomal RNA
Source: RNAcentral
UCCGAACGAUGAUGCCCAGCUUGCUGGGUGGAUUAGUGGCGAACGGGUGAGUAACACGUGAGUAACCUGCCCCUGACUCUGGGAUAAGCGUUGGAAACGACGUCUAAUACUGGAUACGACUGCCGGCCGCAUGGUCUGGUGGUGGAAAGAUUUUUUGGUUGGGGAUGGACUCGCGGCCUAUCAGCUUGUUGGUGAGGUAAUGGCUCACCAAGGCGACGACGGGUAGCCGGCCUGAGAGGGUGACCGGCCACACUGGGACUGAGACACGGCCCAGACUCCUACGGGAGGCAGCAGUGGGGAAUAUUGCACAAUGGGCGAAAGCCUGAUGCAGCAACGCCGCGUGAGGGAUGACGGCCUUCGGGUUGUAAACCUCUUUUAGUAGGGAAGAAGCGAAAGUGACGGUACCUGCAGAAAAAGCACCGGCUAACUACGUGCCAGCAGCCGCGGUAAUACGUAGGGUGCAAGCGUUGUCCGGAAUUAUUGGGCGUAAAGAGCUCGUAGGCGGUUUGUCGCGUCUGCUGUGAAAUCCCGAGGCUCAACCUCGGGCUUGCAGUGGGUACGGGCAGACUAGAGUGCGGUAGGGGAGAUUGGAAUUCCUGGUGUAGCGGUGGAAUGCGCAGAUAUCAGGAGGAACACCGAUGGCGAAGGCAGAUCUCUGGGCCGUAACUGACGCUGAGGAGCGAAAUCGUGGGGAGCGAACAUGAUUAGAUACCCUGGUAGUCCCCGCCGUAUACGUUGGGCGCUAGAUGUAGGACCUUUCCACGGUUUCUGUGUCGUAUCUA